CCGCAAGGUUAAAACUCAAAUGAAUUGACGGGGGCCCGCACAAGCGGUGGAGCAUGUGGUUUAAUUCGAUGCAACGCGAAGAACCUUACCUGGUCUUGACAUCCACAGAACUUUCCAGAGAUGGAUUGGUGCCUUCGGGAACUGUGAGACAGGUGCUGCAUGGCUGUCGUCAGCUCGUGUUGUGAAAUGUUGGGUUAAGUCCCGCAACGAGCGCAACCCUUAUCCUUUGUUGCCAGCGGUCCGGCCGGGAACUCAAAGGAGACUGCCAGUGAUAAACUGGAGGAAGGUGGGGAUGACGUCAAGUCAUCAUGGCCCUUACGACCAGGGCUACACACGUGCUACAAUGGCGCAUACAAAGAGAAGCGACCUCGCGAGAGCAAGCGGACCUCAUAAAGUGCGUCGUAGUCCGGAUUGGAGUCUGCAACUCGACUCCAUGAAGUCGGAAUCGCUAGUAAUCGUGGAUCAGAAUGCCACGGUGAAUACGUUCCCGGGCCUUGUACACACCGCCCGUCACACCAUGGGAGUGGGUUGCAAAAGAAGUAGGUAGCUUAACCUUCGGGAGGGCGCUUACCACUUUGUGAUUCAUGACUGGGGUGAAGUCGUAACAAGGUAACCGUAGGGGAACCUGCGGUUGGAUCACCUCCUUA
RNAcentral lists this ribosomal RNA (647 nucleotides) under Escherichia coli. RNAcentral describes it as "bacterial SSU rRNA". It matches the Rfam family "Bacterial small subunit ribosomal RNA", at positions 886 to 1533 of the family's 1533-position model. Lineage: Bacteria; Pseudomonadati; Pseudomonadota; Gammaproteobacteria; Enterobacterales; Enterobacteriaceae. The record is from RNAcentral.